Long non-coding RNA from Piliocolobus tephrosceles (Ugandan red Colobus), 1697 nucleotides. RefSeq lists it as uncharacterized. Lineage: Eukaryota; Metazoa; Chordata; Mammalia; Primates; Cercopithecidae. The transcript is spliced from 2 exons. The record is from RefSeq and is a predicted model, not a curated record.
AUAUCUUAAAAAAGAAAAAAAAAGAAAAAAAAAAAAGAGUACCUUUUUGAGCAAUGUGAGGAUUACAUGAGAUAAUCCAUAGAAACUGUUUUGCUUGGUGCAGAGUAAACAUCAAGUGUUUCUUUCCGUUAGUUUUAAAGGAGUUUUAUUUAUUCAGCCUGCUAAGUGCCUUCUGCACUUCUGGCCCUGGAGGAGAGAGAGUGACAAAUAGAAUUGUGUCCCAGGCCUCUCAAAGCUUUCAAACUGGGGAGGAGAAACUAGUCUUUUAGAGUACAUUUCCAGAGAGAAGGGUGUGCUGUGAAAUGAUCUAUUUCACAACAGACUAAUUUUACAGGUGAGAAAACAAGCUCAGAGAGGUUCAGUGAUUUGCCUCAGGGCACACAGCUAGUUUCUUAGAGGAACCUAACUGGAGUUAGAAUUCUCCAGGGAAGGAGUUUCUCCAGUGGAUCUUGCCUGCCAUGGUUUUCCAGAUUCCAGGAUCAAGGUAAGAACAGAAACAUGUGAGAAGAUGAGGGAAGAUGGCUGCAUGUUUCUCGGCUCCACAGGGAAACGUUGAGCAGUGGAAUUCAAUCAACGGGUUUGGGUUAGGUGCCCUUCCCCUACCCUAGUCCAACCUCCAGCAAGGAAACCAAGGCUGAUCCCAGCCCUGGGCUUUUUUUCUCCUGGGAAGGUCCUCGUUGGGUAUGGACAGGCUCGGAGGUGACCCGCCCAGAGGUGGGAGAUCUAGCUGUACCUUUCUAGGACUCACAGACCUUCAGCUUCACUUUGCAGGAGUUUGUUAGGAAUGAACUAGACACACCCCCUCCUCCCAGCUCUGUCCGGCCUCCUGCAAGCCUGAACUCCUAGAAUAAUUAACCACUCACUGCAGGAUCCUGGCCUUUGCCAGGGCCUGCCCCACCCACCCUGUGUGUUUGAGGCAGGAGCUUGCAACACUGAGCAACAAGAAUGAUGAAAUUUUUAUCCACUUGGCAAAUAUUUGCUUGGCGCCCCCUCUGUGUCAGGAACAGUUGGAAAUGCGUUUCCCAACCUUGCCUAACCAGGUGCGCUGGAAUGUUUUCCACUUCCUGGGUCAUUGCCUCCAGGGAUCAAAGCCCCCAUCCACACAGUGGGCUGAAUAUGGAUCUAUGCAGUGAUCUGGUCCUGGCGCUGUGGAAUCAGCUUUGCACCAGGCCCCAGAAGGUCUGCGUUCCAGAGCCUUCCUGUUGGGGCCUCAGUCUUCUCAUCUGAAAAACGGGAGCAAACUCAGUUCUGCCAUGCCCAGCGUGGGUGUGAUGUCACAUCAGUGCAGGAUGACGCUGUUCUCUGAAGUUUCUUUAUCUACCUAGAAACUGGACCUGCCAAAGGAGAACACAAUGACCUUUUCUGGAAUAUCAUUAGCCAGAGGUUAAAACUCAUAUCCCAGAGGAUAUGACACUGAACAUUAAACACCACACCUAGAGCCCAAACUUCAUCCCAAACUAUUAUCUGCUCUCUUUCCCAUUCAAGGUCCAAAGACAUUAUUAAUUAUCGUCUAGACAUUGGACUCAUUUGUUUCCCCCUAAAAACCAUUGACUGUCCUUCAAAUCGCCACGUGUCCCCCAUCUCUCCUUCCCCCAUGAAGAAGGGCGUAUGUACCUGUACCCCACUGGGUUAUAGGGUAACCAUUCUGUGAUGCCCUCAUGCUCUGCACGUUGAAAUAAAUUUUGCCUUUUCUCCAA